CCCUUAGACGUUCUGGGCCGCACGCGCGCUACACUGACGGAGCCAACGAGUACUAUCCUUGGCCGAGAGGUCCGGGUAAUCUUGUGAAACUCCGUCGUGCUGGGGAUAGAGCAUUGCAAUUAUUGCUCUUCAACGAGGAAUGCCUAGUAGGCGCAAGUCAUCAGCUUGCGUCGAUUACGUCCCUGCCCUUUGUACACACCGCCCGUCGCUCCUACCGAUUGGGUGUGCUGGUGAAAUGUUCGGAUCGGCCGUUUGUCGCGGUUUCCGCGUCAUGUGGCUGAGAAGUUCAUUAAACCCUCCCACCUAGAGGAAGGAGAAGUCGUAACA
RNAcentral lists this ribosomal RNA (327 nucleotides) under uncultured eukaryote. RNAcentral's name for it is "partial 18S ribosomal RNA". It matches the Rfam family "Eukaryotic small subunit ribosomal RNA", at positions 1470 to 1796 of the family's 1831-position model. The record is from RNAcentral.